This is a long non-coding RNA of Manacus vitellinus (golden-collared manakin), 378 nucleotides long. RefSeq lists it as uncharacterized. The record is from RefSeq and is a predicted model, not a curated record. The transcript is spliced from 2 exons. Lineage: Eukaryota; Metazoa; Chordata; Aves; Passeriformes; Pipridae.
CUGGUGAGUCACGUCAGUUAACAAGGACCUGGUGGCAGCCAGAGGCUGGCGACUCGCUCCGAGAUGGGUGACCCUUGGGGCUGGUGGCCGCUCCGUGGCGAGUGCGCCUGUAGAAGGGAACCAGCAUGGCUGACAGGCGUGCUGCUUCUCAGCAGAAGCACAUAACAAAUGGAGGGGGAGCCUGCCUGGCCAAGAGGCAGGUGGGAGGCAGACUUGUAUUCUCUGUGAACAGGGGCACUUGAGGAGACAAGAAGCAGGAAAAUAUUUAACUGGCUUGAAACACUGACAAAACGUGGACUUCUAUGGAGGCAAGGCCAAGCUUUACAGGACUCUGGGACUCUGCAAUGCUUCUUAAUAAUAAAACAACUGGUUGAGAAA